UGUGUGUCCUUUAGGAAGCUGCUUCUCUGUGAACUUCCAGCAAAAAACUCUGAAGCUGCUUUGCCUUGUCUUAGUACACAGCCCAGCACUGGCAGUGCCCUACCUUAGUAGAUGGGAAACUAGGAAAAGGUUUACUCCUCCUGCCGCCGGCUUCCGGAUUAGACAUGGCAAUGGUGAUUUGAAGGAUCAGCCAAGGAAUGUCAUAACAGAGGCUACUGUGAAACCAAAUUAAAGGAGCCCAGGGAGCAAGGGAAAGUCUUCAAGUUAGAAAAGCUUAUCAAUUGCUUGUAUGCCACGUAUCCGGCUAGGCAGUUUGGGCUUCAAAGGAGUACAGAUCUUACUAGAAGAUGUCAGUUUCCCACACCAGAGAAGUAUCGCACUUGGAAGCUUCCGAGGGUGAAGCAUGUGUUGGAGACCCAGGACGGACGUCCUGCCGCGCAGCGGAAUCUGACCACUCAGUGUCUGCAUGACUGCAAGAGAGUCGCUCAAGCUCCACCAACUGCUGUCUCUUCCUUUGCAGGACAAAUAAUAAUAACUCGGUUUAAUAUAGUUCUGAGAACUGUGUUCAAGAUGUUUCAAGACCCUGCCACAUCAGAGAGACUAAUAAAAUGUAGUUAUUAUGACAAGGCUUCAGCUUUUCCAGCUGUAAAAUAGGGAUAAUAAAAUACCCAUGCCUAGUGCAUGGUAAGCUCUG
This is a long non-coding RNA of Suricata suricatta (meerkat), 694 nucleotides long. RefSeq lists it as uncharacterized. Lineage: Eukaryota; Metazoa; Chordata; Mammalia; Carnivora; Herpestidae. The record is from RefSeq and is a predicted model, not a curated record. The transcript is spliced from 3 exons.